UGCUGAUUGCAUGGAGGAGUAUUUAAGCAGGAGGCUGCCAGCACUUCGAUGCCAAAGUGUUUGUCUUCCGUGGAAACAGCUCAGCCACUUCUAAGCUAUGCUUCGUUCUGUGUCUCUAAGCUGAUGUUGUUUAUGUUCCUUCACAGGCAGAAACCUGAGCUCACUGAUCAUUCUUCGUUGAACUUUGACUUCGGUUCCAGAAGUUUCUGGACGAUGUUUGGUGGAUUUCGUUUGGAUUUUGUUUCUGAUUAAAAAGCUGGCAGCUUCCUGUUCUCCUCCGUCUCCUGAACCAAGGCAGAAGCGUAACCUGUCCACCCUCCCACACAAGUACUUGAACAUUGAAUUAACUCCUGAACUCACCAGAACUCAUUCUACAGCUCAAGUAAAACCAUCUGGCUUUCUCCUCUUCGCAUACCUGGGUCCCGACUCCCUCUACCCCUGGUGACCUGACUACACUCACUUAUUGGCGAUUCUACCCUUUCACGUUCCAGUUUCACUUCUUGUAAAUAAAACACCUUUUACUGA
This is a long non-coding RNA of Girardinichthys multiradiatus, 525 nucleotides long. RefSeq lists it as uncharacterized. The transcript has 2 exons. The record is from RefSeq and is a predicted model, not a curated record. Lineage: Eukaryota; Metazoa; Chordata; Actinopteri; Cyprinodontiformes; Goodeidae.